AGGGCGCCCAGAAGUUUUCAUCUCAU
This 26-nucleotide non-coding RNA is filed under the name Rattus norvegicus (Norway rat). Lineage: Eukaryota; Metazoa; Chordata; Mammalia; Rodentia; Muridae. The record is from RNAcentral.